RNAcentral lists this ribosomal RNA (497 nucleotides) under uncultured bacterium. RNAcentral's name for it is "partial 16S ribosomal RNA". It matches the Rfam family "Bacterial small subunit ribosomal RNA", at positions 28 to 507 of the family's 1533-position model. The record is from RNAcentral.
GAUGAACGCUGGCGGCGUGCCUAAUACAUGCAAGUCGAGCGAACAGACGAGGAGCUUGCUCCUCUGACGUUAGCGGCGGACGGGUGAGUAACACGUGGAUAACCUACCUAUAAGACUGGGAUAACUUCGGGAAACCGGAGCUAAUACCGGAUAAUAUAUUGAACCGCAUGGUUCAAUAGUGAAAGACGGUUUUGCUGUCACUUAUAGAUGGAUCCGCGCCGCAUUAGCUAGUUGGUAAGGUAACGGCUUACCAAGGCAACGAUGCGUAGCCGACCUGAGAGGGGUGAUCGCCCACACUGAACUGGGACAAGGUCCAGAACUCUAAGGGAGGCAGGCGUAGGGAAUCCUCCGCAAUGGGCGAAAGCCUUACGGAGCAACCGCGGGUGAGGGAUGAAGGUUCUUCGAUCGGAAAACCUCGUUAAUAGGGAAGAACAAAUGUGUAAGGUAACAUUCCCGGCUUGAAGGUAACUAAUCAGAAAGGCACGGCUAACUACGUG